AAAUGACUGUAUUCGGGACGUAUUGUUUAAUUAAGUGUGUGUUUUACAUGGAAGGAAAUGGAAACCAUCAAUUGUACAAGGACCUCCAUAUCCAUCCCGAAUGCAAUAUUUCCAAUCAUCGAUCCACAUUGCCACUUCUUAAACAGCUGUAAAAAUGUGGCCAUAGUGGAAGACGGCGCGGCGGCAGGAAACGAUGGAACAGGAGUGCUUCGGGUGCCACCAGAGGUUUCCACUCUCUCUUGUUGCUGGACAAAAUGCGGUCGGCGAUGAUAUAAGCUCCAGAUAACUCGAAUGGAGAACGGCGGUUCCAGGAAUUCUAAAGCGGAAGCGGUAGGCGGCUACUGGGUUUCCUCUAUGUCGAUGUGUCGAUGGUAUCCAAAACAGAACGACCCUCAGAGGCAUCGCAAGAGGUUGUCUAAAGAAGGCGAAAUAAAGCUCCAGAAAAUAUUGCUGCACUGGCACACCACUCCCGAGCUUCUGCCUAACGUACAAAAAAGGGAGAGUCGACAGAUGGCGAUUUUUUAACUUAUUGUUACCAAUGUGAAAUCAGUUAGAAAUCGGGAUAUCCAUUUGGUUGGUUUUCAGAAGACAGAUUGGGGAUCCGAAUGCAGUUUGUCAAGAGAUUGGCCUUUUUCUAUACGAAUGGGUGUAUUGGGUAGCACCCGGUUAUUUCAUUGGUUACUUACGAAGAUUCCAACAGCUAAUUUAAUUUGAGUCAUCCGUUUCUGCCUGGAGCAGUUCUUGUUCCGGAAGGAUUCGUCGGAAGGGAUUUUUGUUAUACCGUACCACAUGAGGAUGUUAAACCUUGGGAUCUGGAUCUGCAUGUCGCUGCAUUCGUAGAAGGAAGCCGUGAAAAUGAUGGAGUAGCCACCGUCGUCAAGGAGCUGUCCGGCAGGACUUAAUGAGACCAACGUUGAAGUCACUUAGAGGUGGAUUCGGCGAACUCACUGCAGGUCCGCGGUUAUUUUCACCGACCAGCGUUAAAUUUUGGAGUUUACGAUACUAAGCGAAUUUGGGGAGGUGAGAGGAGUACGAUUCCAACUGAAAUUAAGUCCCACGCCAUCACUAGCGGACUGCAAGUCGAUCUGAAAUAGCGACAGUAAGGCGAAGGCCUUCAGGCAUUAUUCACUUCUUUGCAUUCUGAGCUCUGCGGCUUGAGUUUUCUUUUGUUUGCAGAUUUUAUGGAAGUGAGGGAACUGAGUUCACUUCUCUGGAUGAGAUCUCCUUUUAAAUGGAGGUAAGCGUUGCCUUUCUUAUGUUUUACUUGUAUUUGGCCAUAUGUACGCAUUUAUGUCCGGAACAUCAGUUUAUUUGUGGAGACUUAUAUGUUAAAAUUCAGUAGUCAAUUCAAUCGAUUAUUUUUGAUUGGGGGUUAAUCGAACUGGGAGAUUUCAAUUGUAAAGACAAGUUACUAAGAUUUUGGGGUAACAUAAUUUUGGAGUAUUUUGAAUAUUUGUGUACGAUAUCCCAUUGAGGGCGUUUAUUUUUAAUUGAAUAUUUAUUUGACAAUACACCAGCAUUUAUCGUGGUACUUAAAUUGGCUUGUACUUUUCUGAUCCCCUUGUAUCUUCCCAACUUCACACGGGGAGAUGCAAGCUAGAAAUUGAGUGGCGCUCAACCUUGGUAACUGCAACGAAGAUUCCGAAUAUCAUUUUACCCAGAACAAACUACCGCUGUAGAAGAUUCUCAAGCUCUCAUUUUGUGUUUUACCCUGAGACCGUUUAUGCGGUGGGUUUGAAAAAUUGGAGCACCAACUCAACUACCCGUUAUAAUACUUACGUUCAUAUCACGUGUGGGAUGGCUUGACAAAGAGCCCGAAUUUGAGGCGCGUGUCGCCCCUCCUAUCGUAAUCCAUAAUCCACUUGAGCAAUACAAAAAAUUGAGCUUCAGGCAUAAAUCUAAAUAUCAAUUACUCCAUAAAACUAAAACGAAUUUCCCUAAAAAAAUAUAUUAGUGAAAAACUAAAUGAAUAAUCCAAGAAAUCCCUUCCGUCUUUUCAGCUUAGAUGACAUUAUACUUGAUCGUAAAAAUAGAAAUUUAAUUUCGUUACAUUUUAAAAGUAAAUGAAAGGGAUGUAGCUUUAUUGAUUAAGUAAAAUACCUCUUGCAUAACAAUUAGAUUCCAAAGGUCUUUAAAGUUCGCGUUUUCGAAUUUGAACUCCCUUCCAAUUUAGAUAGGGUCUCACUAGUUCCACUAUUUGUUGGACAGACACGUUAGAAGAAAAUAUUUCCCCGAUCCUUAUACGGAUGAAUAAAAAAUUUUAAAUUUGCUUUUGGAAAGAGAAUCCUUAGCCGUUUAAACAUGAUUGCGAGGAUUUAAAGCCGCGCGGCGAAGUUCAUUCAUUCGAAAAUUUCAGGCUAUUUAAAAUAAGUUUUAUUUUCUUUUAAUCAAUCCAAAUUCAGCAGUUCUAUAUAUUGCGGGAAGUAAUCAAAUUUUCAGCUAAAAUUCACGCGUGCUUUGUAUAAUCUGAAUAUACGGAUACACGGAUGUAGGAUUUUCUGUUGUUUAACUAAAUUUAUUCAGAUUGUUGUUUUUCAGCCUUGUAGUCGAUAGAAAAUUGUAAACUUAAUUGUCGUUGAAGAUCCUUUUGGGGUAAUACGUCCAAUUUAUUUAUAAUUAAAUAGUCUAUCCAUGUAUUCAUUUCUGUGAGCCUCGGUCUAACUCAACUAGCACAAAAGGCAUUGGAUAAUCUUUCACAAGCUGUCGUGGCAAGAAAAUCAUAGGCUUCUAAGGGACAAUAAACGAAUCUUACAACAAAGGUGUCUUAGGGCAAGGGUGGGGCUUUAAUAUAGCUGAGCAAAAAGUCUAUGAGAUAACCUUACACAAUUAUCCUCAAGCAAGGGGAACAACCCCUUAGUGUACAAACACCGUUCGCUUCCUAUUGAUGGUAUUUAACAAUUAUUUUAUUUUAUAUUUUAUAUUUAUUUUUUAUAUCUAAGGUAAUCGAAACGAAAGUACGAUGGGAAACAAAAGAAAGCUCAAAAACUUUGAGUAAAGGUAAAACUUGAGCGAAGGUAAAGCCCUCGUAUUGUUCAUAUGCAAAUAUAAAUCCGUACAAACGAUUCAAUGGAGCCACCACAGAGACAUCAAAAAGAAAGAGAAACCACUCCAAAGAUAAUUAUAGUGAAGUCAAAGCACUAAUCUCUUAAGUCAGAAAAGUAAUGGCGUACCAAGCGAAAUCAUUUGCAUGUAACCAAGGCGAAAACAGAACGUACACUGAAGAGGAACUCUAGCAACAAGACAAAGAACUAGGUAAAAGAGACCUCUAACACUAACAGGACGGUAAAAUAAAAAAUUAUAGUUAAUAAGAAACCCAUAUUCAGAUAAUAACCAAUUUACUACAGGAACAAAAGUUUCAGACUUGAUUUCCUGAACAAAAUUUUUAAUCUUAAUAUAAGAACCUCCUUUUUCUGGAUUAACUCCCUUGGUUUAAGGGCUUGAAACCCCCUCCUUUUCAAUUUUUGUAUUUAAAUUUAGGAAAUUUGGUUUCUUCAUUGAGCCCUAACGACUGGCUUUGGCAGGAACCAUGUAUUUACUAACCUGCCAACCUGUAAACGAUUUUCAAAAUCUCAAUGUAAAAUGGUCAUAAACGGUAUGGUGCCCUAUACAGUAAUCGCGUGAAUUUAAACAUCUUGAAAAUAGACUUCCACAAUUUUACUCAAAAUUUUCGUUCGGAAUAUCUUUGAAAUGUUGACAAUAGAAAAUAUUUAUAAUCUUCCUUUACAGGUAUUUCACAAUUUCUAGAAGCCUUAAAACACUCAAAACCGAAAUUUUGUAAUCGUGCAAUUGGCAAAUCAUGUAGGUACUGGUAAUUUUGAAACCUUGGUGUCCUUCGACCACAUUCACUUCAGAUAUUAGAAUUUUCAAAGAAAAGGUUUUUAUGUUUGCUUCAAGGAUUGUAUUGUUUGCAUAAGUGUUUAAUUGGAAAAAAUUUUGAAUUUUUUCGUCUAACUUAAAAUGUAAAACUAGAUUGCAGUGCAAGUAUGUGAAUAAUAAACAAGUUUGAGUUGCGCAUAAUCGGCAGUUUUGAAAAGUAAUGGUUGCGCGGGGAAACAUUAGAAUAGCAUUCGCUCUGUAACCGCGGCCACGUAAAGAAGUAUCCUGAAAAAUUUUCCUUUCGGCGAGAAGUAACAAAGUUGUGAUCUACGACAGAAGCUCGCGUUUUGUUUCCACCAGCCAGCGUUUUUUCGUUAACCCAGCCUGCGCUUGUUUUAACCAGCCCGCGGUUAUUUUUCACCGGCUAGCAUUAAAUUUUGAAGAAUUUCUACAAAGAAGACAUCCAUCCACAAUCGAGAGAAAGCAGUAUAGAUCGCCCACUGUCCGAAACCACUACGUAAAGUCCAGCAGAGAGCAAAACGGGAGAACUUUGCUUAAGUCAGCGACUGGCUUCGGCUGCAUUUGGAACAAAGUCGCCAUGCUGUCAGAGAUGCCCCACUAUCCAGUCGUUAGAAAAGUUACUGCGUGGUAGGUUUUCCAAUUAAAUCAAUCGAUCGAUCGUCCCAGAUGUACCAAAUUUUCACAUUUUCGUAUGGGGUUUCUUAUUUCAAUUGGAAUUGGCCAACAGCGCUUGGGUUGGAGUAUACGGGUAAUUAACUUCGACUGUAAACUGUAUGGAGUUAGAGGGGUAGGCCAUGGAAUGACCAGGAAGCUCUUCCAAUCUACAGAAAAGAUUACUACGUGCACUAUAUGUACUUACGCAAUCAAAUUAUUCAUAAUUGUCGUCAUUAAACUUGGAGUUAUUGAAAAUUGCCUGGAAGAUUACCGGAAGUUAAAAAGAUAACCUUCUGUUCCACUUCGUUUGAGAUCGUUCCUCGGACUACCGUAGUACAAUUACUACAAAUGGAUUGUAAUAGGGCGUUGGCGAAGGCGUUGGUGUCUACCUAUAUAUAAGUUAAAGUAGACAACUUUGUAUCUACUACAUUACAAGG
Photinus pyralis (common eastern firefly) is the source of this 4928-nucleotide long non-coding RNA. RefSeq lists it as uncharacterized. The record is from RefSeq and is a predicted model, not a curated record. The transcript is spliced from 10 exons. Lineage: Eukaryota; Metazoa; Arthropoda; Insecta; Coleoptera; Lampyridae.